UUGGAAGUAAGGUUAUGAUGCACAUAC
Molecule: non-coding RNA, 27 nt
Filed under: Bombyx mori (domestic silkworm)
Lineage: Eukaryota; Metazoa; Arthropoda; Insecta; Lepidoptera; Bombycidae
Source: RNAcentral